AGAGUUUGAUCCUGGCUCAGAAUCAACGCUGGCGGCGCGCCUAACACAUGCAAGUCGAACGAGAAAGUGGAGCAAUCCAUGAGUACAGUGGCGUACGGGUGAGUAACACGUGGAUCAUCUGCCCUGGAGUGGGGAAUAACGCUGGGAAACCGGCGCUAAUACCGCAUAUUCCCGAGAGGGGAAAGCAGCAAUGCGCUCGAGGAGGAGUCCGCGGCCGAUUAGCUAGUUGGCAGGGUAAAAGCCUACCAAGGCUGUGAUCGGUAGCCGGCCUGAGAGGGCACACGGCCACACUGGCACUGAAACACGGGCCAGACUCCUACGGGAGGCAGCAGUGGGGAAUCUUGCACAAUGGGGGAAACCCUGAUGCAGCGACGCCGCGUGAGCGAUGAAGCCCUUCGGGGUGUAAAGCUCUUUCGGCAGGGACGAUUAUGACGGUACCUGCAGAAGCAGCUGCGGCUAACUACGUGCCAGCAGCCGCGGUAAUACGUAGGCAGCAAGCGUUGUUCGGAGUUACUGGGCGUAAAGGGUGUGUAGGCGGCCUGUUAAGUUCCGUGUGAAAUCUCCCGGCUCAACUGGGAGGGUGCGCGGAAAACUGGCGGGCUAGAGUGCGGGAUGGGAGAGUAGAAUUCCUGGUGUAGCGGUGAAAUGCGUAGAUAUCAGGAGGAAUACCGGUGGUGUAGACGGCUCUCUGGACCGUAACUGACGCUGAGACACGAAAGCGUGGGUAGCAAACAGGAUUAGAUACCCUGGUAGUCCACGCCCUAAACGAUGCAUAUUUGGUGUAGUCAUUCAGUUGAUCUGUGCCGGAGCUAACGCGUUAAAUAUGCCGCCUGGGGAGUACAGUCGCAAGGCUGAACUCAAAGGAAUUGACGGGGCCCGCACAAGCGGUGGAGCAUGUGGUUCAAUUCGACGCAACGCGAAGAACCUUACCUG
RNAcentral lists this ribosomal RNA (933 nucleotides) under uncultured bacterium. RNAcentral's name for it is "bacterial SSU rRNA". It matches the Rfam family "Bacterial small subunit ribosomal RNA", at positions 8 to 977 of the family's 1533-position model. The record is from RNAcentral.